UGGGGAAUUUUGGACAAUGGGCGAAAGCCUGAUCCAGCCAUGCCGCGUGAGUGAAGAAGGCCUUCGGGUUGUAAAGCUCUUUCGGCCGGAACGAAAUCGUCCGGGCUAAUACCCCGGAUGGAUGACGGUACCGGAAGAAGAAGCACCGGCUAACUACGUGCCAGCAGCCGCGGUAAUACGUAGGGUGCAGGCGUUAAUCGGAAUUACUGGGCGUAAAGCGUGCGCAGGCGGCUUCUCAAGUCAGAUGUGAAAGCCCCGGGCUUAACCUGGGAACUGCGUUUGAAACUGGGAGGCUAGAGUGCGGCAGAGGGGGGUGGAAUUCCACGUGUAGCAGUGAAAUGCGUAGAUAUGUGGAGGAACACCGAUGGCGAAGGCAGCCCCCUGGGCCUGCACUGACGCUCAUGCACGAAAGCGUGGGGAGCAAA
This 425-nucleotide ribosomal RNA is filed under the name uncultured bacterium. RNAcentral's name for it is "bacterial SSU rRNA". It matches the Rfam family "Bacterial small subunit ribosomal RNA", at positions 355 to 772 of the family's 1533-position model. The record is from RNAcentral.